AUUGAACGCUGGCGGCAGGCCUAACACAUGCAAGUCGAGCGGAUGAAGGGAGCUUGCUCCUGGAUUCAGCGGCGGACGGGUGAGUAAUGCCUAGGAAUCUGCCUGGUAGUGGGGGAUAACGUCCGGAAACGGGCGCUAAUACCGCAUACGUCCUGAGGGAGAAAGUGGGGGAUCUUCGGACCUCACGCUAUCAGAUGAGCCUAGGUCGGAUUAGCUAGUUGGUGGGGUAAAGGCCUACCAAGGCGACGAUCCGUAACUGGUCUGAGAGGAUGAUCAGUCACACUGGAACUGAGACACGGUCCAGACUCCUACGGGAGGCAGCAGUGGGGAAUAUUGGACAAUGGGCGAAAGCCUGAUCCAGCCAUGCCGCGUGUGUGAAGAAGGUCUUCGGAUUGUAAAGCACUUUAAGUUGGGAGGAAGGGCAGUAACUUAAUACCUUGCUGCUUUGACGUUACCAACAGAAUAAGCACCGGCUAACUUCGUG
Molecule: ribosomal RNA, 484 nt
Filed under: uncultured bacterium
Lineage: Bacteria
Description: partial 16S ribosomal RNA
Rfam family: Bacterial small subunit ribosomal RNA
Source: RNAcentral